UACAGAGGUGGCAAGCGUUGCUCGGUGUCACUGGGCUUAAAGGGCGCGUAGGCUGUGCGGUACGGUUCGGGUGAAAUCCCUCGGCUCAACCGAGGAACCGCCUGGGCGACGGCCGUGCUAGGCAGCAUCAGGGGAAGAUGGAACUCCCGGUGGAGCGGUGAAAUGCGUAGAUAUCGGGAGGAACGCCGGUGGCGAAAGCGAUCUUCUGGGGUGCUUGCGACGCUGAGGCGCGAAAGCUAGGGGAGCAAACGGG
RNAcentral lists this ribosomal RNA (253 nucleotides) under uncultured bacterium. RNAcentral describes it as "partial 16S ribosomal RNA". It matches the Rfam family "Bacterial small subunit ribosomal RNA", at positions 524 to 776 of the family's 1533-position model. The record is from RNAcentral.